RNAcentral lists this ribosomal RNA (253 nucleotides) under uncultured bacterium. RNAcentral describes it as "partial 16S ribosomal RNA". It matches the Rfam family "Bacterial small subunit ribosomal RNA", at positions 524 to 776 of the family's 1533-position model. The record is from RNAcentral.
UACGUAGGGUGCGAGCGUUGUCCGGAAUUAUUGGGCGUAAAGGGCUCGUAGGCGGUUUGUUGCGUCGGGAGUGAAAACUCAGGGCUUAACCCUGAGCCUGCUUCCGAUACGGGCAGACUAGAGGUAUGCAGGGGAGAACGGAAUUCCUGGUGUAGCGGUGAAAUGCGCAGAUAUCAGGAGGAACACCGGUGGCGAAGGCGGUUCUCUGGGCAUUACCUGACGCUGAGGCGCGAAAGCUAGGGGAGCAAACAGG